GGGCCUAUAGUUCAGCGGUAGAAUGACGCCCUUACAAGGCGUAGGUCACCGGUUCGAUCCCGGUUGGGCCCA
This 72-nucleotide transfer RNA is filed under the name Candidatus Woesearchaeota archaeon. RNAcentral describes it as "tRNA-Val". It matches the Rfam family "tRNA". From Rfam's summary of the family: Transfer RNA (tRNA) molecules are approximately 80 nucleotides in length. Their secondary structure includes four short double-helical elements and three loops (D, anti-codon, and T loops). Further hydrogen bonds mediate the characteristic L-shaped molecular structure. tRNAs have two regions of fundamental functional importance: the anti-codon, which is responsible for specific mRNA codon recognition, and the 3' end, to which the tRNAs corresponding amino acid is attached (by aminoacyl-tRNA synthetases). tRNAs cope with the degeneracy of the genetic code in two manners: having more than one tRNA (with a specific anti-codon) for a particular amino acid; and 'wobble' base-pairing, i.e. permitting non-standard base-pairing at the 3rd anti-codon position. Lineage: Archaea; Nanobdellati; Candidatus Woesearchaeota. The record is from RNAcentral.